AUACGUAGGGUGCGAGCGUUGUCCGGAAUGAUUGGGCGUAAAGGGCGCGUAGGCGGCCCGGUAAGUCUGGAGUGAAAGUCCUGUUUUUAAGGUGGGAAUUGCUUUGGAUACUGUCGGGCUUGAGUGCAGGAGAGGUAAGUGGAAUUCCCAGUGUAGCGGUGAAAUGCGUAGAGAUUGGGAGGAACACCAGUGGCGAAGGCGACUUACUGGACUGUAACUGACGCUGAGGCGCGAAAGUGUGGGGAGCAAACAGGAUUAGAUACCCUGGUAGUCCACACUGUAAACGAUGAAUGCUAGGUGUAAGAGGUAUCGACCCCUUUUGUGCCGGAGUCAACACAAUAAGCAUUCCGCCUGGGGAGUACGGCCGCAAGGUUGAAACUCAAAGGAAUUGACGGGG
This 397-nucleotide ribosomal RNA is filed under the name uncultured bacterium. Its description in RNAcentral is "partial 16S ribosomal RNA". It matches the Rfam family "Bacterial small subunit ribosomal RNA", at positions 523 to 918 of the family's 1533-position model. The record is from RNAcentral.